This 252-nucleotide ribosomal RNA is filed under the name uncultured bacterium. Its description in RNAcentral is "partial 16S ribosomal RNA". It matches the Rfam family "Bacterial small subunit ribosomal RNA", at positions 524 to 776 of the family's 1533-position model. The record is from RNAcentral.
UACGUAGGGUGCAAGCGUUGUCCGGAAUUAUUGGGCGUAAAGGGCUCGUAGGCGGUCCAUCGCGUCGGGAGUGAAAAGCUGGGGCUCAACCCCAGUCCUGCUUCCGAUACGGGUGGACUAGAGGUAUGCAGGGGAGAACGGAAUUCCUGGUGUAGCGGUGAAAUGCGUAGAGAUGUGGAGGAACACCAGUGGCGAAGGCGACUUCUGGGCUGUAACUGACGCUGAGGCGCGAAAGCGUGGGGAGCAAACAGG